UCACACCUGAGGAUUAAUUGAAGCCAUGUAGAAUUAAAGACAAUAGAAAAAACUACAUAACAACCACAUCUCGCCACUGUGAAAAUGCGAAAAAGCUCACAUGCAUCAUAUAUACAGUUGGUAGUCAAGCUAAUCACAAAGCUAGAAAAGCCAACAAUAAAUUAAGAGAAUGAAAGAAAAUCAACAUGGAGAAACCACCAGAGAAGCUGCUAGAAUCAGUUGCAUGCAUCAACUCAUACCUAUCUAUGAAUUAGCCUCAUCAAAGUAGAAAUUUUGAGACCACACAAAUGCUUAUUCAUAGGAGGAUUGGAAUUACUACUAAAAAUAGUACAAUCAUUAAAUUAUAAAUGGAAUGUUUAUCUUAAAAUUUUAAACUUAGAAAAUAACUCAAUUAGUUAUUUAUAUUCUAAUACAUCUUUAAGUUAUAAGAGUUCUUAUAUUAAAAGUGUGAAUCAUACACAUAUGUCAUAAAUAUUAUACAACUUAUAUUUUUAAUAUAAUUACGGCUGUAACAUCACCGAUACCGAAUGUAACAACCCAAACCCUCAUCCAGAGUCCUGACCGUACGCACACUAUAUUAUGAUAAAAUAAUCUAUAAGAAUAUUUUACACAGCAAAUUUUAAAAUAAAAAAAAGUACAUCGCUAAUAUACUUAGCUCAAAAUAUCCAAUAUUCAUGAGGUAAGUCCAAACUCUAAAAUAAAUACUUACUAGAAAAGAAAUAAUUAACCUUAAAUACUGUUCGAAUUAAAAUAAAAAUUAAACGAUCUCCUAGCAAGUCUUUCACUGUUCAGGACCGGGAUUUUAAUUAUCUUGAUCUGAAAAAAAAUAAAUAAUAAAUAGGGUGAACUUAAUAUACUCAGUAAACGUGUAAGUACCAAUAAAUAAUAGGACAAUCUAUUCAAUUUGGUAGAAAACUUAAAACAACCAACGAAGAGUGUUCAAAAUACUUUUCUCUUUAAUUCAGACAACACGUGAUAUCUAUACCCUAAUUCAUUCACCAAACCUUCUAAAUCAGUUUAUUCAGUAAACAUUCAGAAUUCAUUAUUUCAGUAACAUAACUUAGGGUAUGAACAAUUCAAUAAAUAGUAUAAUUCAAUAUUCAGUAUCACAAUUAAACAAUAAGUAGUUCAAUAAAUAUUAAUUCAGUAUUUC
RNAcentral lists this long non-coding RNA (1153 nucleotides) under Carica papaya (papaya). RNAcentral describes it as "long non-coding RNA (CPAP_LNC013700)". The record is from RNAcentral. Lineage: Eukaryota; Viridiplantae; Streptophyta; Magnoliopsida; Brassicales; Caricaceae.